CCCACACCCAUGUGUGUAGGACCCCAAAGGAUCACCAUUAAAUUUGACACCGAUCUUUAGAAAAGUUAUCAUAUAUGUGUGGGACUUGACUUUUCUAGAGAUCUUUGCCAAAUUUAAUGAUGAUCCUUUGAAAUCCUACACACAUGGGUGUAGA
Molecule: microRNA precursor, 154 nt
Filed under: Amborella trichopoda
Lineage: Eukaryota; Viridiplantae; Streptophyta; Magnoliopsida; Amborellales; Amborellaceae
Description: MIR8565 microRNA precursor family
Rfam family: MIR8565 microRNA precursor family
Source: Rfam by way of RNAcentral